Homo sapiens (human) is the source of this 3035-nucleotide long non-coding RNA. RefSeq lists it as uncharacterized. The record is from RefSeq and is a predicted model, not a curated record. Lineage: Eukaryota; Metazoa; Chordata; Mammalia; Primates; Hominidae. The transcript has 2 exons.
CCGCCCACAUCCUGCUGAUUGGUCCAUUUUACAGAGUGCUGAUUGGUCCAUUUUACAAAGUGCUGAUUGGUGUGUUCACCAUCUUUUAACUAGACCCAGAGCACUGAUUGGUGCAUUUACAGUCCUUUAGCUAGACACAAAAGUUCUCCAAGUCCCCACCUGACCCAGAAGCUCAGCUGGCUUCACCUCUCAGUAUGGGUGGGGAACCUACUUGUUUUCAGUUUAUGAAAGUAGGUUUUCAGGAAAAGCAAACCUGUGGUAGAAACUUGUUGGAAAUGUAAUGGAACCUGGAAUGUUCCAUUAAUCACAAGACUUCUGUGUGAUUGCUCAGAGCUCUAAAAGUAGAUACAACGGCCUUGUCAUCUGUAAUUUUUUUUUGUUUUUGGUCAUUUUUAGGUGAAAUAUUUGAUAGUGCUUUAUACUUUCUACCCUUUUUAGGGCAUGGUAAAUGUAUUUGUUCGACUGACAGCUACUGCAAGAAGCAAACCCUCACAUGCAUCAUUGCUUUUUUUUUUUAUGCUCAGGUGACUCCAGAACAGGUUUUACUAAUAUGUGGGCAGCUCUGUGUAGUAGCUCUUGCCAUGUUAGUGUUGCUAUAUUUAGUUCCUCCUAUUCAAGGUUGCUAUGCUUGUCGGCAUCAAGCAGGAGGAGAAAAGACCCUGGUGGAAGGGGCAUGGGAAGUCUUGUGGACCAGGCCGGAAGUGGCACCUCAUUGGCCACAGCUCCGUCCCAUCUCUGGUAGAGAAAGAGAGUUGAGCAGUGUGUUGGGAAGAAGCAGAAGCAAGCUGGGUACUAACAUCCUUUAAAAUUAGAUAGUUUUUUUUUUUUUAAUGUACUUCGAGUAUGUUCUAGAAAGCUAUUUCCUUGGAUACCUCCCUUUUGCGAUGAAGAAGUGGCAGCUCACAGAAUUGAGUGACUUGCUCAGGGUCACAGAGCGUCAGGUGACAGUGUGUGGUCUGGAAUCCAGGCCUUAUCCAUUACCUUGUCCCGUACUUUGUCUUUCCACGAGUUUUUGAGUGUGGCCAGCAGUCCUACCUCUAGACUUUUCUGCGUGUGCCAUGCCAGCUUUUGGGAGGAUUACAGUCAUCACCACCAUCUGAAGAGGUACUGGGGACCUCAGCUCCCCCAUGACAGCAAACAUACCCAGGGAGAGGGGGCUGUGGGGAUACUCAGUGGAUGAUUAGGGUUUUUAGAAUCUGUUGGGAAGGGGAAGAGGUAUACAUUAAAAUUGAGUGCCCUAGAGAACAGGAGAAUUGGAGAGAAGACACAUGAUUAAAGAGAAACGCAUAUGCAGACCCCUCUCCCACCACCAGCAUCCCAGUGCUUGGGAAACCCAAAGCCAAGCCCUGGCUCCUCAGGGAUCCCCAAAGGAAACAUUUAUCCCCCUGGAUGUUUGGAUGUCCCGUAAUGAUUUAGAGGCCUGAGAUCCUGCUCAAAUCCCUGGAUUCUAUGUGGUAUUGAAGAAGGACUUUUAAAACUAGACCUGACAGGUCCAAAUAAAUAUCCUCCAUUGUGAGGAACAAUCUCAUUUGGGCCUCUGAGGCUCUCUAAAAAUAUCCUUCAUUGACUGUUCACUUUAGAAUCCAGGAUUGAGACUCCCACCCCACCCCCUAACUUCCCUUCCCUUUUGUUUUUCUAUGUUGCCUGCUCAUCCUUCCUCCUCUCACCAGCCUGGCCUUGCCUAGGGAGUGGGAGUUGGCAGGGCUUGCCUACCAGGAGGGUUUUGUUGAGAGGCACCAAGUCCAAAGGAAUCUUUUGUCUACAGGUGCACUUGAAUUGUGGGCAGCCAGCAGGGUGUGUGUGUGUGUGUGUGUGUGUGUGUGUGUGGAGGGAAAUUCGUAGGAGUGAGUGUGGGUGUGCACACCUGCUCUAAAUUGCUUCUACUGCCAGAAUGUACUCCUGGAGGGAUCAGGAAGGAGUAAGCCCUUAGUCGAUUGAGCCAGUCCAGCCCUGAGGACAUUGAUUCCAGCUCCUUGCUUUCAUUGAAGGGAGGAGAGAAACUCAAAUAGGAGCCCUCAAGGAGAUUGUGUGAAGCUUUCUGAAUUCGGUGUCAUUUUCAUGCAAUUUUGUUAAGAACUGGUGUAUUUCAUCCCCUCCUGGUUCAUUCCGUGAGUCAUCCAGAAGGCAUCAGAGCCUCGUCAUUUUGGCAGCCGCAGGGCAUUUGUGCCCAGCGAAUUAUGGGCAGCUCUGAUCUGAAGUAACAAGGUUGAGUCGAGAUAGGUUGAGAAAUGACCCAGACAGAAACAGGGGCCUCGGCUGGCAGCCCCAGCCACACCAUAACUGCACCCGUAGCUCAGAUGAGGUCAGGACAUUUUUGCUUUGUGACAGAUUUGGGACGCAGAGAAAAGAGUUCAGGCUUUGUACUGACCGAGGCCAGCACUGACACCAGUGCAGACAAAGAGGUUUGUAGCCAGGGGAGUGGAGGGACGGACAGCUCAGAUUUUAGCUGACGAUGAUUCUCAUGGCCUGUGUACAAGUUCCCACUAAUGUAUCAUCAGUACCAGCAUCUCUGAGGAAGAUGUUUUUCCCACUGUGCACAAUGCAACAUCACUGUCCCCAGGGUACAUGGGACAGAAAAAUCCCUGUUAGAACUGGGCACAAAACUGCGCUUCUGAACAUUUCAGGAUAUGAUCCUUUCAGGAUACUGUGUCUAGCACCCAAAUUUUGAGGACUCAAGUUUUCAUUAAAGCAACAGGCAGUGAUGAUGAUGUGCUUUCCAAAUGCAAAUUGUAGGAACAUUUAAUUAAAUGGGACCCUUAGGAGCAGUAACCAUUCUCAGAUCCCAGUUAACCUGGUGUAUUAGAAUGUCUCAGCAGUGGAAGGAAUUCAUGCCUGGGCUUUGGUGAUGCUUCUCAAACAGAGCAUCUGGCACUGUUCGUGGAAAAAGGACUGAGGUGCCGUUGUGGGGACAUAACGCAGAAGCGUUGCCACAGGAUAAAGACAGCACUCGACAUAUAAUAAAAAUCAAUAUGGAUAAGACACCUAUUACACAGAUAAUCCCAUAUGAAAUAAAUUAAACCCGUUUUACAGAUGGA